UACGAACUGUGCAAACGUUAUUCGGAAUCACUGGGCUUAAAGGGUGCGUAGGCGGCUUGUUAAGUAGGGUGUGAAAUCCCCCGGCUCAACCGGGGAAUUGCGCCCUAAACUGGCGAGCUGGAGUGAGAUAGGGGUGUGUGGAACUUCCGGUGGAGCGGUGAAAUGCGUAGAUAUCUGGAGGAACACCGGUGGCGAAGGCGGCAUCCUGGACCAACACUGACACUGAGGAGCGAAAGCCAGGGGAGCAAACGGG
RNAcentral lists this ribosomal RNA (253 nucleotides) under uncultured bacterium. RNAcentral describes it as "partial 16S ribosomal RNA". It matches the Rfam family "Bacterial small subunit ribosomal RNA", at positions 524 to 776 of the family's 1533-position model. The record is from RNAcentral.